GAUGAACGCUGGCGGCGUGCCUAAUACAUGCAAGUCGAGCGAACGGACGAGAAGCUUGCUUCUCUGAUGUUAGCGGCGGACGGGUGAGUAACACGUGGAUAACCUACCUAUAAGACUGGGAUAACUUCGGGAAACCGGAGCUAAUACCGGAUAAUAUUUUGAACCGCAUGGUUCAAAAGUAAAAGACGGUCUUGCUGUCACUUAUAGAUGGAUCCGCGCUGCAUUAGCUAGUUGGUAAGGUAACGGCUUACCAAGGCAACGAUGCAUAGCCGACCUGAGAGGGUGAUCGGCCACACUGGAACUGAGACACGGUCCAGACUCCUACGGGAGGCAACAGUAGGGAAUCUUCCGCAAUGGGCGAAAGCCUGACGGAGCAACGCCGCGUGAGUGAUGAAGGUCUUCGGAUCGUAAAACUCUGUUAUUAGGGAAGAACAUAUGUGUAAGUAACUGUGCACAUCUUGACGGUACCUAAUCAGAAAGCCACGGCUAACUACGUG
This 497-nucleotide ribosomal RNA is filed under the name uncultured bacterium. RNAcentral describes it as "partial 16S ribosomal RNA". It matches the Rfam family "Bacterial small subunit ribosomal RNA", at positions 28 to 507 of the family's 1533-position model. The record is from RNAcentral.